RNAcentral lists this ribosomal RNA (253 nucleotides) under uncultured bacterium. Its description in RNAcentral is "partial 16S ribosomal RNA". It matches the Rfam family "Bacterial small subunit ribosomal RNA", at positions 524 to 776 of the family's 1533-position model. The record is from RNAcentral.
UACGUAGGGUGCGAGCGUUAAUCGGAAUUACUGGGCGUAAAGCGUGCGCAGGCGGUGCACCAAGCUCGAUGUGAAAGCCCCGGGCUUAACCUGGGAAUUGCAUUGAGGACUGGUGUGCUUGAGUGUGGCAGAGGAGGGUGGAAUUCCGCGUGUAGCAGUGAAAUGCGUAGAGAUGCGGAGGAACACCGAUGGCGAAGGCAGCCCUCUGGGCCAACACUGACGCUCAGGCACGAAAGCGUGGGGAGCAAACAGG